UCCCAGGUAGCUCAGCUGGUAAAGAAUCUGCCUGCAAUGCAGGACACCCCAGUUCGAUUUCUGGGUUGGGAA
RNAcentral lists this transfer RNA (72 nucleotides) under Ovis aries (sheep). It matches the Rfam family "tRNA". Rfam says of the family: Transfer RNA (tRNA) molecules are approximately 80 nucleotides in length. Their secondary structure includes four short double-helical elements and three loops (D, anti-codon, and T loops). Further hydrogen bonds mediate the characteristic L-shaped molecular structure. tRNAs have two regions of fundamental functional importance: the anti-codon, which is responsible for specific mRNA codon recognition, and the 3' end, to which the tRNAs corresponding amino acid is attached (by aminoacyl-tRNA synthetases). tRNAs cope with the degeneracy of the genetic code in two manners: having more than one tRNA (with a specific anti-codon) for a particular amino acid; and 'wobble' base-pairing, i.e. permitting non-standard base-pairing at the 3rd anti-codon position. The record is from Rfam by way of RNAcentral. Lineage: Eukaryota; Metazoa; Chordata; Mammalia; Artiodactyla; Bovidae.